GACGAACGCUGGCGGCGUGCUUAACACAUGCAAGUCGAACGGUAAGGCCCUUCGGGGUACACGAGUGGCGAACGGGUGAGUAACACGUGGGUGAUCUGCCCUGCACCUCGGGAUAAGCCUGGGAAACUGGGUCUAAUACCGGAUAGGACUCCUGCCUGCAUGGGUGGGGGUGGAAAGCUUUUGCGGUGUGGGAUGGGCCCGCGGCCUAUCAGCUUGUUGGUGGGGUGAUGGCCUACCAAGGCGACGACGGGUAGCCGGCCUGAGAGGGUGACCGGCCACGCUGGGACUGGGAUACGGCCCAGACUCCUACGGGAUGCAGCAGUGGGGAAUAUUGCACAAUGGGCGCAAGCCUGAUGCAGCGACGCCGCGUGAGGGAUGACGGCCUUCGGGUUGUAAACCUCUUUCAGCACAGACGAAGCGCAAGUGACGGUAUGUGCAGAAGAAGGACCGGCCAACUACGUGCCAGCAGCCGCGGUAA
This 478-nucleotide ribosomal RNA is filed under the name uncultured bacterium. RNAcentral's name for it is "partial 16S ribosomal RNA". It matches the Rfam family "Bacterial small subunit ribosomal RNA", at positions 28 to 523 of the family's 1533-position model. The record is from RNAcentral.